Amborella trichopoda is the source of this 601-nucleotide non-coding RNA. Lineage: Eukaryota; Viridiplantae; Streptophyta; Magnoliopsida; Amborellales; Amborellaceae. The record is from RefSeq and is a predicted model, not a curated record.
AUGGUGCCUCUGGUUCCUAUCUCUAGAGGGGCCUUUGGAGUUGCUCUGCUUAUGGCUGCCAUGGCUAGAGGAGGGAGAAAUGAAGACAAUGGUUUGUUUGGUUUUGAGAGGAGCUGAUGUGAGUGGAGAGCAUGAGAUUGGGGUGAUGUUGAUAUGGGUCACCCAAUACAUGUGUGUGCAAUCAAAGCAUUUUUGGAUGGGUUUCUACCUCAUUGAUGCUCAGGUUAGUGGGGUCUUUUCUGAAUUUUUUACCAACCAUUGAUUUCUUUCUGUUGCUUUCUUUUUGGCUGUCCUUUUCUUGUGAGGCUUGUUGGCAAAGUAUGGGAAGGCGCGGUGUCAUGCUUUUGGAUCAUAUUCUGGUUAGGGCAAGGGACAAGAAUGCUUAUUUUCGAAUGGGGUUUCAAAGAGCAAACCACAAAUUUCUUUGGACUCUUAUUGAAAGGGUGUGGUUUGUAUAAGGCUGAGGCCCUAAAUAAUCAAAGUAAGGCGCACCUUCAAAUGGUAUCGGAUGAUGUUGUUUUAGUGCCAAAAAUCAUUAUGGUCGCCUGAAAAAUUAUUUUUAUUUCAAUUAUAAAAUGUAAAGCUUUAAAAAUAGUGUAUA